This is a long non-coding RNA of Calliphora vicina (urban bluebottle blowfly), 1234 nucleotides long. RefSeq lists it as uncharacterized. The transcript is spliced from 2 exons. NCBI's taxonomy places the organism in Eukaryota, Metazoa, Arthropoda, Insecta, Diptera, Calliphoridae. The record is from RefSeq and is a predicted model, not a curated record.
AGAAAACAAAAGAAAAGGAUAAAACAAGUUCACAUUGAUACAUAAAUGAGAAAAUAGUUACAUACAUAAUUUAAAAACUAAUAAAGAAAUAAUACAAGAAACAAGUGUUUAAGAAAAGCAGAAAGAAAUAUUAUACCACCACAUCAUUUGAUCAUCCCAAAUAAGAGAAUUUAAACCAGGAAAUUUCGUUCAGCUAAGAGAUAAACAACUAAAAACACAUUCUCUUGUUCUCUUUAUUAAGAAUAACCGAAGGCUCGAAAUCACCCGGCCGACUUCAAGUCGACGUAGCCAAACAUCCCAUAGCACUAGAAGUCGAGACGAAACCACCCGGCCUACUUCAAGUCGACGCAGCCAAACAACCAAUAGCGCUAGAAGACGCGACCCGGACAUUUACAAGUGUGCGUUGUGUACCAGCUUUCACGCACUGCGAGAGAGGACGUGGUGGAGAACCACCGCUAUUGCAUCAACUGUCUUGCAAAAAGCCACACAAUAAGAGCUUGUCAAUCGAUGGACACCUGCAGGAUAUGUGACAGGUAUCAUCACACAUUGUUGCACCCACGUCGUCAACGUGUUCGUCAUCAACAGCAACAAGGUCAACGACAGCAGUCAAACCGUCAACAACAACAUCAACAGCCAGAAAGUCGUGACAACCAACAGCAAGCCAGUCAACAAGUCACUCAAUCAGCUAUAACACCAACUAAAUCGACAACACCAGACGUUAAAAUAUUAGUGGAGGCGAUUCGUUCGCUGGCUCACGUAUUAUGUACCCAACAGGGUCCAAUUCUUGCCUAGUGCCAAGGCCGGCGGCAUGUCCAAACUAGUUUGAACACUAAAAUUAUAAUUUAUAUUCAUUAUAAUUUUUAUAUUAAUCAUUUGAAAUUCAAUUAAUAUAAGUAUUUUUUUUGUAGUGUAAGCGAUAUCGUAAAAGACACAAAAUGUGGCAUCGCUAACAUUUUUAUCGCCAGUUUUCGUUAAACGUACUGGAAGUUUAAUAACUAACAUAUAGAUUUAACAAGCUAAGAAAACUUACUUGCACUAGAACCACCAAGAAGUUCAGUCUAUUAAUUUUAUACUUACCUUAAAACUAAAGAUUUUAUACUUACCUUAAAACUAAAGAUUUUAUACUUACCUUAAAACUAAAGAUUUUAUACUUACCAUUGCCAUUGUAAACUUACCUUAAAACUGAAGAAACCUAAUAAAGGAACCCAAAAUUGAAUUGUAUUGAAACCCAAAA